This is a long non-coding RNA of Odocoileus virginianus texanus, 313 nucleotides long. RefSeq lists it as uncharacterized. The record is from RefSeq and is a predicted model, not a curated record. Lineage: Eukaryota; Metazoa; Chordata; Mammalia; Artiodactyla; Cervidae.
AGGAGACAAUGGAGGAGACUGAGAAGGAAAUUCUUAAACAGAUGCUGGAUUUCAUUCUUUUAUAAGAAAGAAUAUCGCUUACCAUAUACUUCCACAUGGACAUUUCGGAACACUGAACCAAGGCGAUUAGAAGCAGUCACCGUGUCCAGCAAGAUUUUCAGCCAGCACACGGAAUCGGUAUUUUUUCUUAUUUGUGAGACCUUUCACUCUGAAUUAGGAACAAAAUGAUCUAAUCGUUCAACCCAGUAUCCUGUGAUGGGGCUGCCACCAUCAUCAUCUGGCUCACACCAUGUGAGGGUCACUGCAUCUUUAG